AGCGAACAGAUAAGGAGCUUGCUCCUUUGACGUUAGCGGCGGACGGGUGAGUAACACGUGGGUAACCUACCUAUAAGACUGGGAUAACUUCGGGAAACCGGAGCUAAUACCGGAUAACAUUUGGAACCGCAUGGUUCUAAAGUGAAAGAUGGUUUUGCUAUCACUUAUAGAUGGACCCGCGCCGUAUUAGCUAGUUGGUAAGGUAACGGCUUACCAAGGCGACGAUACGUAGCCGACCUGAGAGGGUGAUCGGCCACACUGGAACUGAGACACGGUCCAGACUCCUACGGGAGGCAGCAGUAGGGAAUCUUCCGCAAUGGGCGAAAGCCUGACGGAGCAACGCCGCGUGAGUGAUGAAGGGUUUCGGCUCGUAAAACUCUGUUAUUAGGGAAGAACAAAUGUGUAAGUAACUGUGCACGUCUUGACGGUACCUAAUCAGAAAGCCACGGCUAACUACGUGCCAGCAGCCGCGGUAAUACGUAGGUGGCAAGCGUUAUCCGGAAUUAUUGGGCGUAAAGCGCGCGUAGGCGGUUUCUUAAGUCUGAUGUGAAAGCCCACGGCUCAACCGUGGAGGGUCAUUGGAAACUGGGAAACUUGAGUGCAGAAGAGGAAAGUGGAAUUCCAUGUGUAGCGGUGAAAUGCGCAGAGAUAUGGAGGAACACCAGUGGCGAAGGCGACUUUCUGGUCUGUAACUGACGCUGAUGUGCGAAAGCGUGGGGAUCAAACAGGAUUAGAUACCCUGGUAGUCCACGCCGUAAACGAUGAGUGCUAAGUGUUAGGGGGUUUCCGCCCCUUAGUGCUGCAGCUAACGCAUUAAGCACUCCGCCUGGGGAGUACGACCGCAAGGUUGAAACUCAAAGGAAUUGACGGGGACCCGCACAAGCGGUGGAGCAUGUGGUUUAAUUCGAAGCAACGCGAAGAACCUUACCAAAUCUUGACAUCCUUUGAAAACUCUAGAGAUAGAGCUUUCCCCUUCGGGGGACAAAGUGACAGGUGGUGCAUGGUUGUCGUCAGCUCGUGUCGUGAGAUGUUGGGUUAAGUCCCGCAACGAGCGCAACCCUUAAGCUUAGUUGCCAUCAUUAAGUUGGGCACUCUAGGUUGACUGCCGGUGACAAACCGGAGGAAGGUGGGGAUGACGUCAAAUCAUCAUGCCCCUUAUGAUUUGGGCUACACACGUGCUACAAUGGACAAUACAAAGGGCAGCUAAACCGCGAGGUCAUGCAAAUCCCAUAAAGUUGUUCUCAGUUCGGAUUGUAGUCUGCAACUCGACUACAUGAAGCUGGAAUCGCUAGUAAUCGUAGAUCAGCAUGCUACGGUGAAUACGUUCCCGGGUCUUGUACACACCGCCCGUCACACCACGAGAGUUUGUAACACCCGAAGCCGGUGGAGU
RNAcentral lists this ribosomal RNA (1390 nucleotides) under Staphylococcus pseudoxylosus. RNAcentral describes it as "bacterial SSU rRNA". It matches the Rfam family "Bacterial small subunit ribosomal RNA", at positions 65 to 1436 of the family's 1533-position model. Lineage: Bacteria; Bacillati; Bacillota; Bacilli; Caryophanales; Staphylococcaceae. The record is from RNAcentral.